CUGAGAGUUUGAUCCUGGCUCAGAACGAACGCUGGCGGCGUGCCUAACACAUGCAAGUCGAGCGAGAAAGUCCCUUCGGGGGCGAGUAAAGCGGCGGACGGGUGAGUAAUACAUGGAUAAUCUUCCCUCGAGCCUGGGAUAACCCUGCGAAAGUGGGGCUAAUACCGGAUAAGACCACAUGACACAUGUCACGGGGUAGAAGGUGGCUUGUAUUUAUAUGAGCUAUCACUUGAGGAUGAGUCCAUGGCCUAUCAGCUAGUUGGUGAGGUAAGAGCUUACCAAGGCUAUGACGGGUAGCUGGUCUGAGAGGACGACUAGCCACACUGGGACUGAGACACGGCCCAGACUCCUACGGGAGGCAGCAGUGGGGAAUAUUGGGCAAUGGGCGAAAGCCUGACCCAGCGACGCCGCGUGGGUGAUGAAGGCCUUCGGGUUGUAAAACCCUUUCGUGCGGAAAGAAUAGUCUCGUAGCGAAUAACUACGGGAUUUGACGGUACCGCAGGAAGAAGCACCGGCUAACUCCGUGCCAGCAGCCGCGGUAAUACGGAGGGUGCAAGCGUUGUUCGGAAUUAUUGGGCGUAAAGGGCGCGUAGGUGGUUGUGAUAGUCAGAUGUGAAAUCCUUCGGCUCAACCGAAGAACUGCAUCUGAAACUUCAUAGCUCGAGUACAGGAGAGGGAAACGGAAUUCCCGGUGUAGAGGUGAAAUUCGUAGAUAUCGGGAGGAACACCAGUGGCGAAGGCGGUUUCCUGGCCUGAUACUGACGCUGAGGCGCGAAAGCGUGGGGAGCAAACAGGAUUAGAUACCCUGGUAGUCCACGCCGUAAAC
RNAcentral lists this ribosomal RNA (826 nucleotides) under Syntrophorhabdus sp. Its description in RNAcentral is "bacterial SSU rRNA". It matches the Rfam family "Bacterial small subunit ribosomal RNA", at positions 1 to 807 of the family's 1533-position model. The record is from RNAcentral. Lineage: Bacteria; Pseudomonadati; Thermodesulfobacteriota; Syntrophorhabdia; Syntrophorhabdales; Syntrophorhabdaceae.